Molecule: ribosomal RNA, 530 nt
Filed under: fungal endophyte
Lineage: Eukaryota; Fungi
Description: eukaryotic LSU rRNA
Rfam family: 5.8S ribosomal RNA (bases 195-348)
Source: RNAcentral
AGCGGAGGGAUCAUUAACGAGUUAUUAACUCCAUAAAACCCUAUGUGAACUUUACCUAGUUGCCUCGGCGUGAGCCCGCGCUUGCUCCGGAGCCGCCAUGCGCGGCCCCGGGCGGCGCACCUACGGCCCGCCAGAGGACCGCUAAACUCUUGUUUAUACUGAUGGAACUCUGAAUUCUUAACUAAAUAAGUUAAAACUUUCAACAACGGAUCUCUUGGUUCUGGCAUCGAUGAAGAACGCAGCGAAAUGCGAUAAGUAAUGUGAAUUGCAGAAUUCAGUGAAUCAUCGAAUCUUUGAACGCACAUUGCGCCCAUUAGUAUUCUAGUGGGCAUGCCUAUUCGAGCGUCAUUUCAACCCUUAAGCCUUAGUUGCUUAGCGUUGGGAGGCUACGUCUUCCGGGGCGUACCUCCUUAAAGUGAUUGGCGGAGUCGGGUCGUGCUCUAAGCGUAGUAAACAUAUAUCCUCGCUUCUGUAGCUCGCUCGGCGGCCUGCCGUAAAACCCCUAUAACUUCUAGUGGUUGACCUCGGAU